CCUUAACCUGCUAAAUAGCUGUAACAAUAGAUUAUUGUUUUGACAGCUUCUUAGAGGGACUAUCGAUUUUCAAGUCGAUGGAAGUUUGAGGCAAUAACAGGUCUGUGAUGCCCUUAGACGUUCUGGGCCGCACGCGCGCUACACUGACGGAGCCAGCGAGUCUAACCUGUGCCGAGAGGUAUGGGUAAUCUUGUGAAACUCCGUCGUGCUGGGGAUAGAGCAUUGCAAUUAUUGCUCUUCAACGAGGAAUUCCUAGUAAGCGCAAGUCAUCAGCUUGCGUUGAUUACGUCCCUGCCCUUUGUACACACCGCCCGUCGCUACUACCGAUUGAAUGGCUUAGUGAGGCUUCCGGAUUGAUUAACUGGAGAGGGCAACUUUUCUGGUUGAACGAGAAGCUAGUCAAACUUGGUCAUUUAGAGGAAGUAAAAGUCG
Molecule: ribosomal RNA, 432 nt
Filed under: Saccharomycetales sp.
Lineage: Eukaryota; Fungi; Ascomycota; Saccharomycetes; Saccharomycetales
Description: SSU rRNA
Rfam family: Eukaryotic small subunit ribosomal RNA
Source: RNAcentral